RNAcentral lists this ribosomal RNA (881 nucleotides) under Bradyrhizobium japonicum. RNAcentral's name for it is "bacterial SSU rRNA". It matches the Rfam family "Bacterial small subunit ribosomal RNA", at positions 104 to 1019 of the family's 1533-position model. The record is from RNAcentral. Lineage: Bacteria; Pseudomonadati; Pseudomonadota; Alphaproteobacteria; Hyphomicrobiales; Nitrobacteraceae.
GGGUGAGUAACGCGUGGGAACGUACCUUUUGGUUCGGAACAACACAGGGAAACUUGUGCUAAUACCGGAUAAGCCCUUACGGGGAAAGAUUUAUCGCCGAAAGAUCGGCCCGCGUCUGAUUAGCUAGUUGGUGAGGUAAUGGCUCACCAAGGCGACGAUCAGUAGCUGGUCUGAGAGGAUGAUCAGCCACAUUGGGACUGAGACACGGCCCAAACUCCUACGGGAGGCAGCAGUGGGGAAUAUUGGACAAUGGGGGCAACCCUGAUCCAGCCAUGCCGCGUGAGUGAUGAAGGCCCUAGGGUUGUAAAGCUCUUUUGUGCGGGAAGAUAAUGACGGUACCGCAAGAAUAAGCCCCGGCUAACUUCGUGCCAGCAGCCGCGGUAAUACGAAGGGGGCUAGCGUUGCUCGGAAUCACUGGGCGUAAAGGGUGCGUAGGCGGGUCUUUAAGUCAGGGGUGAAAUCCUGGAGCUCAACUCCAGAACUGCCUUUGAUACUGAGGAUCUUGAGUUCGGGAGAGGUGAGUGGAACUGCGAGUGUAGAGGUGAAAUUCGUAGAUAUUCGCAAGAACACCAGUGGCGAAGGCGGCUCACUGGCCCGAUACUGACGCUGAGGCACGAAAGCGUGGGGAGCAAACAGGAUUAGAUACCCUGGUAGUCCACGCCGUAAACGAUGAAUGCCAGCCGUUAGUGGGUUUACUCACUAGUGGCGCAGCUAACGCUUUAAGCAUUCCGCCUGGGGAGUACGGUCGCAAGAUUAAAACUCAAAGGAUUUGACGGGGGCCCGCACAAGCGGUGGAGCAUGUGGUUUAAUUCGACGCAACGCGCAGAACCUUACCAGCCCUUGACAUGUCCAGGACCGGUCGCAGAGAUGUGACCCUCUCU